Molecule: ribosomal RNA, 581 nt
Filed under: Pseudomonas fulva
Lineage: Bacteria; Pseudomonadati; Pseudomonadota; Gammaproteobacteria; Pseudomonadales; Pseudomonadaceae
Description: bacterial SSU rRNA
Rfam family: Bacterial small subunit ribosomal RNA
Source: RNAcentral
AGGAAUCUGCCUGGUAGUGGGGGACAACGUUUCGAAAGGAACGCUAAUACCGCAUACGUCCUACGGGAGAAAGCAGGGGACCUUCGGGCCUUGCGCUAUCAGAUGAGCCUAGGUCGGAUUAGCUAGUUGGUGAGGUAAUGGCUCACCAAGGCGACGAUCCGUAACUGGUCUGAGAGGAUGAUCAGUCACACUGGAACUGAGACACGGUCCAGACUCCUACGGGAGGCAGCAGUGGGGAAUAUUGGACAAUGGGCGAAAGCCUGAUCCAGCCAUGCCGCGUGUGUGAAGAAGGUCUUCGGAUUGUAAAGCACUUUAAGUUGGGAGGAAGGGUUGUAGAUUAAUACUCUGCAAUUUUGACGUUACCGACAGAAUAAGCACCGGCUAACUCUGUGCCAGCAGCCGCGGUAAUACAGAGGGUGCAAGCGUUAAUCGGAAUUACUGGGCGUAAAGCGCGCGUAGGUGGUUUGUUAAGUUGGAUGUGAAAGCCCCGGGCUCAACCUGGGAACUGCAUCCAAACUGGCAAGCUAGAGUACGGUAGAGGGUGGUGGAAUUUCCUGUGUAGCGGUGAAAUGCGUAGAUAU